GAUGAACGCUGGCGGCGUGCCUAAUACAUGCAAGUCGAGCGAACAGACGAGGAGCUUGCUCCUCUGACGUUAGCGGCGGACGGGUGAGUAACACGUGGAUAACCUACCUAUAAGACUGGGAUAACUUCGGGAAACCGGAGCUAAUACCGGAUAAUAUAUUGAACCGCAUGGUUCAAUAGUGAAAGACGGUUUUGCUGUCACUUAUAGAUGGAUCCGCGCCGCAUUAGCUAGUUGGUAAGGUAACGGCUUACCAAGGCAACGAUGCGUAGCCGACCUGAGAGGGGGAUCGGCCACACUGGAGCUGAGACACGGUCCAGACUCCUACGGGAGGCAGCAGUAGGGAAUCUUCCGCAAAGGGCGAAAGCCUGACGGAGCAACGCCGCGUGAGUGAUGAAGGUCUUCGGAUCGUAAAACUCUGCUAUUAGGGAAGAACAAAUGUGUAAGUAACUAUGCACGUCUUGACGGUACCUAAUCAGAAAGCCACGGCUAACUACGUG
Molecule: ribosomal RNA, 497 nt
Filed under: uncultured bacterium
Lineage: Bacteria
Description: partial 16S ribosomal RNA
Rfam family: Bacterial small subunit ribosomal RNA
Source: RNAcentral